RNAcentral lists this ribosomal RNA (1857 nucleotides) under Salmonella enterica. RNAcentral describes it as "partial 23S ribosomal RNA". It matches the Rfam family "Bacterial large subunit ribosomal RNA", at positions 1 to 1781 of the family's 2925-position model. Lineage: Bacteria; Pseudomonadati; Pseudomonadota; Gammaproteobacteria; Enterobacterales; Enterobacteriaceae. The record is from RNAcentral.
GGGUUGUGAGGUUAAGCGACUAAGCGUACACGGUGGAUGCCCUGGCAGUCAGAGGCGAUGAAGGACGUGCUAAUCUGCGAUAAGCGUCGGUAAGGUGAUAUGAACCGUUAUAACCGGCGAUUUCCGAAUGGGGAAACCCAGUGUGUUUCGACACACUAUCAUUACGUGAAUACAUAGCGUAAUGAAGCGAACCGGGGGAACUGAAACAUCUAAGUACCCCGAGGAAAAGAAAUCAACCGAGAUUCCCCCAGUAGCGGCGAGCGAACGGGGAGGAGCCCAGAGCCUGAAUCAGCAUGUGUGUUAGUGGAAGCGUCUGGAAAGGCGCGCGAUACAGGGUGACAGCCCCGUACACAAAAGCGCAUAUGCUGUGAGCUCGAUGAGUAGGGCGGGACACGUGGUAUCCUGUCUGAAUAUGGGGGGACCAUCCUCCAAGGCUAAAUACUCCUGACUGACCGAUAGUGAACCAGUACCGUGAGGGAAAGGCGAAAAGAACCCCGGCGAGGGGAGUGAAAAAGAACCUGAAACCGUGUACGUACAAGCAGUGGGAGCCCCACCACUAAGCCAGUGGUGAACUCCACAUACGCAUCCUUUGCUGAGGAUACGGUUAACGGAGCGAAAGCGACGUUCAACCGCAAAAGAAGCAGAGGGGGCUUAGUGGUGGGGUGACUGCGUACCUUUUGUAUAAUGGGUCAGCGACUUAUAUUCUGUAGCAAGGUUAACCGAAUAGGGGAGCCGAAGGGAAACCGAGUCUUAACCGGGCGUUAAGUUGCAGGGUAUAGACCCGAAACCCGGUGAUCUAGCCAUGGGCAGGUUGAAGGUUGGGUAACACUAACUGGAGGACCGAACCGACUAAUGUUGAAAAAUUAGCGGAUGACUUGUGGCUGGGGGUGAAAGGCCAAUCAAACCGGGAGAUAGCUGGUUCUCCCCGAAAGCUAUUUAGGUAGCGCCUCGUGAACUCAUCUCCGGGGGUAGAGCACUGUUUCGGCUAGGGGGUCAUCCCGACUUACCAACCCGAUGCAAACUGCGAAUACCGAAGAAUGUUAUCACGGGAGACACACGGCGGGUGCUAACGUCCGUCGUGAAGAGGGAAACAACCCAGACCGCCAGCUAAGGUCCCAAAGUCACAGUUAAGUGGGAAACGAUGUGGGAAGGCACAGACAGCCAGGAUGUUGGCUUAGAAGCAGCCAUCAUUUAAAGAAAGCGUAAUAGCUCACUGGUCGAGUCGGCCUGCGCGGAAGAUGUAACGGGGCUAAACUGUGCACCGAAGCUGCGGCAGCGACACUCUGUGUUGUUGGGUAGGGGAGCGUUCUGUAAGCCUGCGAAGGUGUCUCGUGAGGGAUGCUGGAGGUAUCAGAAGUGCGAAUGCUGACAUAAGUAACGAUAAUGCGGGUGAAAAACCCGCACGCCGGAAGACCAAGGGUUCCUGUCCAACGUUAAUCGGGGCAGGGUGAGUCGACCCCUAAGGCGAGGCCGAAAGGCGUAGUCGAUGGGAAACAGGUUAAUAUUCCUGUACUUGGUGUUACUGCGAAGGGGGGACGGAGAAGGCUAUGUUGGCCGGGCGACGGUUGUCCCGGUUUAAGCAUGUAGGCGGGUGUUUUAGGUAAAUCCGGAACGCUACUAACGCUGAGGUGUGAUGACGAGGCACUACGGUGCUGAAGUAACAAAUGCCCUGCUUCCAGGAAAAGCCUCUAAGCAUCAGGUAACAUCAAAUCGUACCCCAAACCGACACAGGUGGUCAGGUAGAGAAUACCAAGGCGCUUGAGAGAACUCGGGUGAAGGAACUAGGCAAAAUGGUGCCGUAACUUCGGGAGAAGGCACGCUGAUAUGUAGGUGAAGUGAUUUACUCAUGGAGCUGAA